AGCAGCCGCGGUAAUUCCAGCUCCAAUAGCGUAUAUUAAAGUUGUUGCAGUUAAAAAGCUCGUAGUUGAAUUUCGGGAUCAAUAUGUUGGUCGUGCCUCGGUACGUACUAGCUUAUUGGUUUCUCCUUUCUGAAGAACCAUGAUGUCAUUUAUUUGGUGUCGUGGGGAAUCAGGACUGUUACUUUGAAAAAAUUAGAGUGUUUAAAGCAGGCUCACGCUUGAAUACAUUAGCAUGGAAUAAUGAAAUAGGACGUUUGAUUCUAUUUUGUUGGUUUUUAGGAUCGACGUAAUGAUUAAUAGGGAUAGUUGGGGGCAUUAGUAUUCAAUUGUCAGAGGUGAAAUUCUUGGAUUUAUUGAAGACUAACUACUGCGAAAGCAUUUGCCAAGGAUGUUUUCAUUAAUCAAGAACGAAAGUUAGGGGAUCGAAGACGAUCAGAUACCGUCGUAG
This 448-nucleotide ribosomal RNA is filed under the name uncultured Glomeromycotina. RNAcentral describes it as "SSU rRNA". It matches the Rfam family "Eukaryotic small subunit ribosomal RNA", at positions 569 to 1023 of the family's 1831-position model. The record is from RNAcentral. Lineage: Eukaryota; Fungi; Glomeromycota.